CAAAAAAAAAAAAAAAAAAGAUAUGACUUGGGAAGUGAAAUUCUCUAAUCUGAAACUUUAUUGCAAAAAUUGUGGGCAUCUAGGAGAACUGGAGUUGUGAGCAGGUCAGAAGAGAAACUUUGCUGCUUCCUUUGUCAAUGCUGUAUGGAGAGAAAUUUGAGAUGCUUUGGAUAUUAAAAGAAAGACUGGAAGGCAGAAGAUACUGAAUUAACCACACCAAUGAAGAGCGCAUGUCUUUGCAGCUCUUCUCACCAAGAAUUGGAGUCUAUUUUCUCAACUCAUUAAAUCUGAGCUGGCUGUGUGACUUGCUUUGGCCAAAAAGACUUUAGCAAAUAAGAUAUAAGCACAAGCAGAGGUUUGAAAAGUGCUGGUUCGCUGGGGCUUACUGUAUUACUGCUCUUGAAAUGCUGAGAUGACCAUGUGAAUGAAUCCAAGGAAGCCUCCUGGAAGAUGAGAAUGCUGCAUAGAAGAAAACAGAGGUCUCCAGCUGACAGCCUGCCAAACACUAGAAAUGUGAAUGAGGCCAUUCUGGAUCAUCUUGUCACCAGCUGACCUCCCAGCUGACUAUCAGUGCAUGAGCAAACCCAGAAAAGAUGAGCUGAGCCAGUCCAGUGUAGAAGAAUUGCCCAGCCAACCCACAGAAUAAUGAGCUGAAUAAAAU
RNAcentral lists this long non-coding RNA (661 nucleotides) under Homo sapiens (human). Its description in RNAcentral is "non-protein coding lnc-CYBB-1:1". Lineage: Eukaryota; Metazoa; Chordata; Mammalia; Primates; Hominidae. The record is from RNAcentral.